CAUUAUCGAGUCUUGGACGGGUUGUAGCUGGCCUCUCUCGAGGCACGUGCACGCCUGGCUCAUCCACUCUUAACCUCUGUGCACUACUUGUAGGAUCGGUGCAGGCUGGCGCAAGCUGGUCGGCGUCGGUUCUAUGUUUUCACCACAAAUGUCUCAGUUACAGAAUGUCAGCUUGCGCUUGGCGCAACGAAUACAACUUUCAGCAACGGAUCUCUUGGCUCUCGCAUCGAUGAAGAACGCAGCGAAAUGCGAUAAGUAAUGUGAAUUGCAGAAUUCAGUGAAUCAUCGAAUCUUUGAACGCACCUUGCGCUCCUUGGUAUUCCGAGGAGCAUGCCUGUUUGAGUCUCAUGGAAUCUUCAACCAUUUGGAUUUGUUUCCAGGUGGCUUGGACUUGGAGGUUGUGUCGGCCGUCGUGGUCGACUCCUCUCAAACGCAUCAGCGCGAACCUUGCGGAUCGACCUCGGCAUGAUAAUUGUCUGCGCCGUGGUCGAGAGGCGUCUAUGUUCUUGCUUCCAACCGUCCGUGAGGACAUGUCAUGACAUCUGAGCUCAAAUCAGGCAGGACUACCCGCGAACUAAU
RNAcentral lists this ribosomal RNA (579 nucleotides) under Merulius incarnatus. Its description in RNAcentral is "eukaryotic LSU rRNA". The stretch from base 195 to 348 matches the Rfam family "5.8S ribosomal RNA". The record is from RNAcentral. Lineage: Eukaryota; Fungi; Basidiomycota; Agaricomycetes; Polyporales; Meruliaceae.